Molecule: ribosomal RNA, 106 nt
Filed under: Mus pahari (shrew mouse)
Lineage: Eukaryota; Metazoa; Chordata; Mammalia; Rodentia; Muridae
Description: rRNA (MGP_PahariEiJ_G0032780.1)
Source: RNAcentral
AGUGGUACUACCCAUAAUGCACCUAAUUUUACCUGAUCUCAGAAGCUAAGCUUGGCCAAGACUGGUCAGCAUUUGGAUAGGAGAGAAAGACAGUAAUGUGCCAGAA